GCACUACUGAAAAGUCCCACAAUAGGACGAAACGGCCGUCCAAUGU
Schistosoma haematobium is the source of this 46-nucleotide non-coding RNA. Lineage: Eukaryota; Metazoa; Platyhelminthes; Trematoda; Strigeidida; Schistosomatidae. The record is from Rfam.